Molecule: long non-coding RNA, 1355 nt
Filed under: Chinchilla lanigera (long-tailed chinchilla)
Lineage: Eukaryota; Metazoa; Chordata; Mammalia; Rodentia; Chinchillidae
Description: lncRNA (ENSCLAG00000029212.1)
Source: RNAcentral
GAUGUCCUGGCCCCCUGCACACCCUGGCUGUACAGUGCGGCUGGCAGGUCCCGGGCCACACGCCUGUGAAGCAGGUACUGCGCUCAGAGUGUAGGCCACCACAGAACAGUGGCAAGUGCUUGUAUGUCUAAACAGGUCCGAACAUAGAAGAUGUCCAGGGAGAGUGCUUGGUGAUAGGACCUCUCCCGCUCCAUUGUACUCCUAUGAGACUGCCACUGUAAGUGCACUGUGCAGACCCAAGGAAACAAUUUGGCAAGUAGCACAAAUGCGUGCAGUCAUCCAGCCCAAGAGCUCCCAGACGGGAAACGUUCCUGUUAGCCCAGCAAGCGCCUUCCCCGACCACCCUCCCCCAACACCAACCAUUUCUAGUUUUCAGGGCACCUGUGUUCCAGGCUUGGUGGCCUCCCGGUGAGCUGGAGGAAUCUCACCCCAUGCAUGUGCUCCUGGAGGAGGUGCCCAGGCCUCUCUCCCAUCAGACACUGCCAGCCUUGUGGCUGUGGCCGGGCCUCAAGCUCUGGCAGGGAGACUUCGAUACUAUUUGCACGACCCACUUAACCCCAGGGGUCCUCUGCUGCCCAGUGAGCUUGGUUCACAACAUGGUGACUCGGGGCCAGUGUGCUUGGCUGGUGCCCACCGUGCUGGGUCCGAGAAGUUGCCUUGGAAACCUCAGGCUUUGCAGAGACUGCUCCGCUGCUUCUCUCAGCCUGGGGCCAAACACAAGAUCCAGACGGAACCUCGGAUGCACCACUGAGCAGAUAAAGUGGGUCCAGAGGCCAAACCCCUCCCCCUCUGUGGACCCUGGGGGAGGAGAGGGCCUUAGAGGGGACCCCACCCCACAUAGGUCCAGUUUCAUGGCUUCUCCCCAUGGUAACUCUGUAGCACCAGCCCCAGGCGGCAGUGCGGUGUGCUGAAUUCAUCAGAACUACAGUUCUCCCUUGGAGCUGCUCUAAGAUCAGAGUAAACGACCUGCAAACGCGUUCUCGGAGACACCGGUGACACCUUCUAUCCGCACAUCUCCUGGCAGGCAGGCUGGUGGCUGCUGCCAGGCACCUUGUACUCGGGGACUCUUCAGUCCUGGCACCACUGGGGUAGUGUCAUCAUCCCGCCCGCCUGACGACAUCCAGACGACCCCGUGAAGGUCAGGCAGCUUCCCGAGGACAUGGCUCGGGGAAGCAGAACCAACAGGGGUGGGUGCGCUGCCAGCCACCUGCCACUCUCACUGCCUGUCUCAUGAGACCCAAAGGUGUCCAGCAGAACCAGGAAGUGCUGAUGUUGGACCCGGAGCACCGGCUUGCAGUCUAGACACUGCCGGCCCAGAGCUGGGAGCAAUCAGGUCAUUCCCAGCUGUGAUCCAA